RNAcentral lists this ribosomal RNA (907 nucleotides) under Enterococcus faecium. RNAcentral describes it as "bacterial SSU rRNA". It matches the Rfam family "Bacterial small subunit ribosomal RNA", at positions 1 to 877 of the family's 1533-position model. Lineage: Bacteria; Bacillati; Bacillota; Bacilli; Lactobacillales; Enterococcaceae. The record is from RNAcentral.
UUUUUAUGAGAGUUUGAUCCUGGCUCAGGACGAACGCUGGCGGCGUGCCUAAUACAUGCAAGUCGAACGCUUCUUUUUCCACCGGAGCUUGCUCCACCGGAAAAAGAGGAGUGGCGAACGGGUGAGUAACACGUGGGUAACCUGCCCAUCAGAAGGGGAUAACACUUGGAAACAGGUGCUAAUACCGUAUAACAAUCGAAACCGCAUGGUUUUGAUUUGAAAGGCGCUUUCGGGUGUCGCUGAUGGAUGGACCCGCGGUGCAUUAGCUAGUUGGUGAGGUAACGGCUCACCAAGGCCACGAUGCAUAGCCGACCUGAGAGGGUGAUCGGCCACAUUGGGACUGAGACACGGCCCAAACUCCUACGGGAGGCAGCAGUAGGGAAUCUUCGGCAAUGGACGAAAGUCUGACCGAGCAACGCCGCGUGAGUGAAGAAGGUUUUCGGAUCGUAAAACUCUGUUGUUAGAGAAGAACAAGGAUGAGAGUAACUGUUCAUCCCUUGACGGUAUCUAACCAGAAAGCCACGGCUAACUACGUGCCAGCAGCCGCGGUAAUACGUAGGUGGCAAGCGUUGUCCGGAUUUAUUGGGCGUAAAGCGAGCGCAAGCGGUUUCUUAAGUCUGAUGUGAAAGCCCCCGGCUCAACCGGGGAGGGUCAUUGGAAACUGGGAGACUUGAGUGCAGAAGAGGAGAGUGGAAUUCCAUGUGUAGCGGUGAAAUGCGUAGAUAUAUGGAGGAACACCAGUGGCGAAGGCGGCYCUCUGGUCUGUAACUGACGCUGAGGCUCGAAAGCGUGGGGAGCAAACAGGAUUAGAUACCCUGGUAGUCUACGCCGUAAACUAUGAGUGCUACGUGUUCGCGGCUUUCGGUCCUUCAGUGCUGCAGCUAACGCAUUAAGCACUCCGCCUGGG